Molecule: non-coding RNA, 75 nt
Organism: Podarcis lilfordi (Lilford's wall lizard)
Lineage: Eukaryota; Metazoa; Chordata; Lepidosauria; Squamata; Lacertidae
Source: the annotation of a GenBank genome assembly
GGAGGGACUGUAGCUCAGCAGUAGAGCAUCUGCCUUGCAUGCAGAAGCUACCAAGUUUGAUUCCUGGCACCUCCA